RNAcentral lists this ribosomal RNA (540 nucleotides) under Glaesserella parasuis. RNAcentral's name for it is "bacterial SSU rRNA". It matches the Rfam family "Bacterial small subunit ribosomal RNA", at positions 216 to 748 of the family's 1533-position model. Lineage: Bacteria; Pseudomonadati; Pseudomonadota; Gammaproteobacteria; Pasteurellales; Pasteurellaceae. The record is from RNAcentral.
UGCCAUAAGAUGAGCCCAAGUGGGAUUAGGUAGUUGGUGGGGUAAAGGCCUACCAAGCCGACGAUCUCUAGCUGGUCUGAGAGGAUGACCAGCCACACUGGAACUGAGACACGGUCCAGACUCCUACGGGAGGCAGCAGUGGGGAAUAUUGCACAAUGGGGGGAACCCUGAUGCAGCCAUGCCGCGUGAAUGAAGAAGGCCUUCGGGUUGUAAAGUUCUUUCGGUGAUGAGGAAGGGUGAUGUUUUAAUAGAGCAUUACAUUGACGUUAGUCACAGAAGAAGCACCGGCUAACUCCGUGCCAGCAGCCGCGGUAAUACGGAGGGUGCGAGCGUUAAUCGGAAUGACUGGGCGUAAAGGGCACGCAGGCGGUGACUUAAGUGAGAUGUGAAAGCCCCGAGCUUAACUUGGGAAUUGCAUUUCAUACUGGGUGGCUAGAGUAUUUUAGGGAGGGGUAGAAUUCCACGUGUAGCGGUGAAAUGCGUAGAGAUGUGGAGGAAUACCGAAGGCGAAGGCAGCCCCUUGGGAAAAUACUGACGCUC